This 141-nucleotide ribosomal RNA is filed under the name uncultured bacterium. RNAcentral describes it as "partial 16S rRNA". It matches the Rfam family "Bacterial small subunit ribosomal RNA", at positions 355 to 511 of the family's 1533-position model. The record is from RNAcentral.
CGGGGAAUUUUCCGCAAUGGGCGAAAGCCUGACGGAGCAAUGCCGCGUGGAGGUGGAAGGCCUACGGGUCGUCAACUUCUUUUCUCGGAGAAGAAACAAUGACGGUAUCUGAGGAAUAAGCAUCGGCUAACUCUGUGCCAG